AUCCAGCUGACCAGUCCUAAAUAGGACGAAACAUGCGUCCUGGAU
RNAcentral lists this non-coding RNA (45 nucleotides) under Schistosoma margrebowiei. The record is from RNAcentral. Lineage: Eukaryota; Metazoa; Platyhelminthes; Trematoda; Strigeidida; Schistosomatidae.